UGCCAGCAGCCGCGGUAAUACGGGAGGCUCGAGCGUUAAUCAGAAUCACUGGGCUUAAAGGGUGCGCAGGCGGACUGACAAGUGUUUUGUGAAAUCCCACGGCUCAACCGUGGAACUGCAGAGCAAACUGUCAGUCUUGAGGAAGGUAGGGGCCGACGGAACCAUAGGUGGAGCGGUGGAAUGCAUAGAUAUCUAUGGGAACGCCAAAAGCGAAGGCAGUCGGCUGGGCCUUUCCUGACGCUCAGGCACGAAAGCGUGGGUAGCGAACAGGAUUAGAUA
This 279-nucleotide ribosomal RNA is filed under the name uncultured bacterium. RNAcentral's name for it is "partial 16S ribosomal RNA". It matches the Rfam family "Bacterial small subunit ribosomal RNA", at positions 506 to 784 of the family's 1533-position model. The record is from RNAcentral.